GGUUGGGCCUCUCGAAUAGAUUGCUUGGUAUACCACAUCCCCUUUAGGUUAUUUUCCAUGCGAUGAGGUACCGUGGGUACAUAUCACCGACACCCUUUAAUAGGCUAAGGAGGUAACUUGCAUGAUUUUGAUCUUUGAAAGGGUAUGAAUGUUUGGUUUGUAGUUAGAUAAGAAAGCUAAUAGUUCUAGGAGGCAAAACAAUUUUUUUGUUUAGAUUUUAGGUUGUCAUGAGAGUAGGUCAUGAUCGAUAACUUGAUUUUAGGUUUGUUUUAUUUUAUUUUUUAAUGGGUAAAAUUGUAGUUGUCCAAAUGGACAACUGGUAUGACAUGCCAAGUAAGAACAACUCCAACAACACUCUUAUUUUGCCCAUGCUCUCUCAAACUAUAACUCCUUAUCUAUGUUUCAGCCUCUUCUUCCUAUAGCACCCCAUCAUCUCCUAAGUAUUUCUAAUUUUACAGUAUAUUUUCAUGGGUCCUACUCAUCGAUCCCACUUGUUAGCUUUGUAAAAAGAGAGAAUGGAGGAGUGGUAGGAGAGGAUAAGGGGCUUAGAGGAGGAGAGCCCCUCAUCCAUUCGGGGCUAAAUAGGAGCUCGGUUGGAUGGUUUUUUAUGCAUUUGAACUUCCAAAAUAGGAUAAGGGCUUAAAUAGGGUCUUUGUUGAAGUUGCUCUAAAGCAUGGUUUACUUUUGCCACACUAGGACCAUUUGUUAAAUCCUCAUGAUUGCCUAUGUAAAAUUUUGAGCCUACUUUCUACUGAAUGAAAAGACAAAACAAUUGUUCGGAUAUGCUCAAAAAACCAUUUUUUUUACUUUAGUAAGUAAUGCAAUGGUAUUCAAUUAUUAAAUAUUGUAGAUGUCUUUUAAAACAAAAAUAUUAAAUAUUAAAGUCUAUGAUAUUCAUCUAUGCCAAA
This 908-nucleotide long non-coding RNA is filed under the name Sorghum bicolor (sorghum). RNAcentral's name for it is "long non-coding RNA (SBIC_LNC000180)". The record is from RNAcentral. Lineage: Eukaryota; Viridiplantae; Streptophyta; Magnoliopsida; Poales; Poaceae.